CCUCCCCCCCGAAAAUAUACCAUGAACUCUACAUACCUCAUCGCGACGAUACGCUGCCAAAAAAAGUAUUUGUCACCGACUUCGUUUUUGAGAAAAUGGUCCGAGAGGGUACUAAAUUAUAUUGAAUAUGCUAUGAAUUUCCAUCGUUCUUAGUGUUGAUUAUGCAUGAUGAUUAGGUGUUUUGUAUUGAUAUGUUCUUUUUAUCAUAAGGGUCUGGAUAGAGGGUCAUUCAUUUGUUAAUAUUUAUUUUGUGUUACCAAUAUUUUUUAUUCUUUAUAUUUAAGCUUCAUUCUCUAAUCUUC
This 302-nucleotide long non-coding RNA is filed under the name Mytilus galloprovincialis (Mediterranean mussel). The record is from RNAcentral. Lineage: Eukaryota; Metazoa; Mollusca; Bivalvia; Mytilida; Mytilidae.